RNAcentral lists this ribosomal RNA (253 nucleotides) under uncultured bacterium. RNAcentral's name for it is "partial 16S ribosomal RNA". It matches the Rfam family "Bacterial small subunit ribosomal RNA", at positions 524 to 776 of the family's 1533-position model. The record is from RNAcentral.
UACGUAGGGUGCGAGCGUUAAUCGGAAUUACUGGGCGUAAAGCGUGCGUAGGCGGUCCGCGAAGUCUGAUGUGAAAGCCCCGGGCUCAACCUGGGAACUGCAUUGGAAACCGACGGGCUCGAGUGUGGCAGAGGGGGGUGGAAUUCCACGUGUAGCAGUGAAAUGCGUAGAGAUGUGGAGGAACACCGAUGGCGAAGGCAGCCCCCUGGGCUAACACUGACGCUCAGGCACGAAAGCGUGGGGAGCAAACAGG